Molecule: transfer RNA, 74 nt
Filed under: Paenibacillus rhizovicinus
Lineage: Bacteria; Bacillati; Bacillota; Bacilli; Caryophanales; Paenibacillaceae
Description: Paenibacillus sp. 14171R-81 tRNA-Glu
Rfam family: tRNA
About the family: Transfer RNA (tRNA) molecules are approximately 80 nucleotides in length. Their secondary structure includes four short double-helical elements and three loops (D, anti-codon, and T loops).
Source: RNAcentral
GGCGUGGUGGUGAAAUGGUUGAACACACAGGCCUUUCAAGCCUGGAUAUGCGGGUUCGAAUCCCGUCCACGUCA